AGUGAACGCUGGCGGUAGGCCUAACACAUGCAAGUCGAAUGGCAGCACAGGAGAGCUUGCUCUCUGGGUGGCGAGUGGCGGACGGGUGAGGAAUACAUUGGAAUCUACUUUUUCGUGGGGGAUAACGUAGGGAAACUUACGCUAAUACCGCAUACGACCUACGGGUGAAAGCAGGGGAUCUUCGGACCUUGCGCGAUUGAAUGAGCCGAUGUCGGAUUAGCUAGUUGGCGGGGUAAAGGCCCACCAAGGCGACGAUCCGUAGCUGGUCUGAGAGGAUGAUCAGCCACACUGGAACUGAGACACGGUCCAGACUCCUACGGGAGGCAGCAGUGGGGAAUAUUGGACAAUGGGCGCAAGCCUGAUCUAGCCAUACCGCGUGGGUGAAGAAGGCCUUCGGGUUGUAAGGCCCUUUUGUUGGGAAAGAAAUCCAGCUGGUUAAUACCCGGUUGGGAUGACGGUACCCAAAGAAUAAGCACCGGCUAACUUCGUGCCAGCCGCCGCGGUAA
This 506-nucleotide ribosomal RNA is filed under the name uncultured bacterium. RNAcentral's name for it is "partial 16S ribosomal RNA". It matches the Rfam family "Bacterial small subunit ribosomal RNA", at positions 29 to 523 of the family's 1533-position model. The record is from RNAcentral.